CUCAAAAACCCUAACCUGCGUCUCUGUAACUGUAAACAUAGGUCGGAAAUGGUUGAACUUUCCUUCUGAUUUUCUCUCAGGCCAUCCGAAAUGUUGAAGCGGAGCAUGAGUUUUAUCCGAUCAUACAUUGAUCAUGUCUCUUGCGUUGUCUUCUUCGAUUUUGAUUACUGUCUUCUUGUUCUGUGUUUGGAUCUCGAGAAAGCUAAAAGGAAAGGUUUUUGAGGUCCCUGCAGCUUUUAGAACUGACAUAUGCGAAAUCCAUCGAGUAUUAUCACUUGGGGAUGCCAAAUUUUCAAAGUCAUCGGUGAUUCGCAGUCCGCAACAAUGUCAAGUUGUCUGAAGAGAAGACCAUGUGGUCGGAAUAGCCUCAUCUUCUUCUCUUGUCCUUGAUGCCGACAGAUGACAACGACAUGAACAAACCAAAAUGUUGAAUUGUCACGACACUGGUGAAGUUUGGACAGAAACCCAGUUUCGCCGUCUCUAGACCCAUCGGAAAGGAGUGUGCAGAUCUCUGGCUGAGGAUUGCAAUCACUGCCAAUUCCAUCGUCUAAACGAUCAACACUGUUGAAACUGCAGAUUUUUUGGUAGCAGUAAUCAUAAUUUUCUCUUUCUGUUGAGUUCAAUCUCUGUAUCAUUCUCCCACCAUUUUACAUUUUGGUGUAAAGGUUUUCGCCAGAAAUCGAAUGACAAAUGUACACAGAAAAUA
Tarenaya hassleriana is the source of this 706-nucleotide long non-coding RNA. RefSeq lists it as uncharacterized. The transcript has 2 exons. NCBI's taxonomy places the organism in Eukaryota, Viridiplantae, Streptophyta, Magnoliopsida, Brassicales, Cleomaceae. The record is from RefSeq and is a predicted model, not a curated record.